ACGGAACUUCGGGUUUAGUGGCGGACGGGUGAGUAACGCGUGAGAUCUGCCUCUAGGUCGGGGACAACAACUGGAAACGGUUGCUAAUACCCGAUGUGCAGCAAUGUGAAAGAUUAUUGCCUAGAGAUGAGCUCGCGUCUGAUUAGCUAGUAGGUGUGGUAAUGGCGCACCUAGGCGACGAUCAGUAACUGGUUCUGAGAGGAUGACCCAGUCACACUGGGACUGAAGACCGGCCCAGACUCCUACGGGAGGCAGCAGUGGGGAAUUUUCCGCAAUGGGCGAAAGCCUGACGGAGCAAUACCGCGUGAGGGAGGAAGGCUCUUGGGUUGUAAACCUCUUUUCUUAGGGAAGAAGCUCUGACGGUACCUAAGGAAUAAGCAUCGGCUAACUCCGUGCCAGCAGCCGCGGUAAUACGGAGGAUGCAAGCGUUAUCCGGAAUCAUUGGGCGUAAAGCGUCCGUAGGUGGCAGUUCAAGUCUGCUGUUAAAAGGCUGGGGCUUAACCCCAGACAGGCAGUGGAAACUGAACAGCUAGAGUGUGGUAGGGGUAGAGGGAAUUCCGGUGUAGCGGUGAAAUGCGUAGAUAUCGGGAAGAACACCGGUGGCGAAAGCG
Molecule: ribosomal RNA, 611 nt
Filed under: uncultured cyanobacterium
Lineage: Bacteria; Bacillati; Cyanobacteriota
Description: bacterial SSU rRNA
Rfam family: Bacterial small subunit ribosomal RNA
Source: RNAcentral